CCCCUUUCAGGGUCACACCUGGAGAGUUUCCAGUACUCUACCAGUCUCGACUAUAGGAGGGAGAGUCUGGUAGAGACAUAUCCAUUCCGUUUCUUGCUUGGGCAGUGGCUAGCAAGUGGAAGGCAAUCUGCUACAUGU
Ornithorhynchus anatinus (platypus) is the source of this 138-nucleotide small nucleolar RNA. The record is from RefSeq and is a predicted model, not a curated record. NCBI's taxonomy places the organism in Eukaryota, Metazoa, Chordata, Mammalia, Monotremata, Ornithorhynchidae.